This 57-nucleotide transfer RNA is filed under the name Tiliqua rugosa (stump-tailed skink). Its description in RNAcentral is "tRNA-His". The record is from RNAcentral. Lineage: Eukaryota; Metazoa; Chordata; Lepidosauria; Squamata; Scincidae.
AGAAGUUCAAACCUUCUUGUUGACCGAGGAGUAUUACAAACAAAGAGCUGCUAACUC